GGCAACUCUUCAAGCCUACUCUCUAUAAUUUAUUGGAAUAUGUUGAUCAUAAUCUCUACUACCUCCAUAUUGCCUCCACUCAUUACACGCAUUCUUAUUCGCGCCCAAAUGUUCUCAGAAAUUGACACUCUGCGCAAUCAUCUCCUCCUAUCUCAAUCCCUCAAAAUCCCACACGUUUCUUUAUAUUGCAUCGUCAAAAUGUUAGAAAAGUCUGGUUAAAUUGACAAAGUCAUGUUUAAUUUUCAAUCUCUUCGAUCCCAUUUCUGGUACCCCCCUCCCCCGGCGCCCCAUAUCCCUGUACAAUCUUCUUAUUGAAACUUCUCUUACACAAAAUUAUUCAGAUCAUAUGUCGUGGUUGUAUAAAGACAUGAUUUUUCUGCGGUGAAGCCAGAAACUUACACUUUCGAUCUUUUGAUAAGUGGGCUGUUUGAUUCGGUAGAAUAGGUGAUGCCCGAAAAUUGUUCGAUGAAAUGCCUGACAAAGGUUGUGAACCUAAUGAGUUCAGUUUUGGGAUUUUGAUUCGUGGGUAUCGCAGACAUUGACUUUUUUCAUUUUUUUUUUUUUUUUGGGUGAAGGAUUGGAGCUUCUGCAACUUUGUGACACUGCAAAGGUUUUAGAAUCCUCGCGAAUUUUUGGGGAUAUGCAAAUUGAUGAGGAGUUAGGAUUGCCGAAGCCUAAUGUCAUGACAUAUAAAUUGAUGUUGGAAGGUUUUUGCAGGGAGGGAAUACUGGAGGAAGCAAAGACUUUAUUUGAGUCUAUGGAAAGAGAUGGUCUUUUUCCAAAUGUGGAGAGCUAUAAUAUAUGGCUAUUGGCUUUUGGUGAAAAAAUGGGAAGGAAAAAACUUCAUUCAAUCGCGAUGAAUUACAUGCCUUGAGUAUAAAUAGACUGCCAACUAACUAUCUAACCAUACAACUAAUACGAAGAUUACACGAGGCUAACCCUCACUAACUAACUGAAGUCCUUAACUAAUUUGUUUACAGCCCGAUGAGCUGACCUAGGCUAGGGAUUUCUUCUGUUACUUUUGGAGGUUCAAACUAUCCUUGAAGAGAUGAUUUACCAUGGUUUGGAGCCAAAUUAAUGCUCAUAAAAAACUUUGAUUGCUGGGCUCUACAAGAAUGAUAUGCUUGCUGAUGCUAGAGCAGUUGUAGGUUUGAUGAUUAUGAGCAAAAUUUCCCUAGAUGCAGUCACUUAUAGCACUCUGCUUCAUGUACCUAGCAGAAAAGGAAACGUAAUUGAGGCCAAUAAAAUUCUAAAUGAUAUGAUAAGGGCAGGACAUGUUCCAAAUACUUACAUUUUCAAUAUACACUGCACAGUAUGUGGACAGAAGAUAAAGCUUCUGAAGCUGAGAAGUUACUGCAAAAGAUUAAUGAAAAAGGGCAUGGAUUGGAUCCUGUGAGCUGUAAUAUUGUGAUUGAUGAUCUGUGUAGAAGUGGGAAGGUUGACAAAGCAGUUGAAAUUGUGAGUGAGAUGUGGACUCAUGGAAGUGCUGCUCUAGGCAACUUGGGAAUUUUAUUUAUAGGUCUAGUGGACAACAACGGAGAAAAAUGCUUACCUGACUUGAUCACUUAUUCAACAAGGAAGGAAGAUAUAUUUAUAUAUAUCUCGUGUAAGUGGGGGAAGAUAUCAUCUGCAUUUAGGUUCUCAAAGAUAUGGAGAGGAAAGGUUGCAAAAAGAGUUUACAAACUUAUAAUUCAUUGAUCCUUGGUCUAGGAAGUAAGAAGCAAAUAUUUGAAAUGUUUAGCAUGCUGAAUGAGAUGAAAGAAACAGGUGUUUCUCCUGAUACUUCACUUACAAUGAUGUUUUUCACUGUCUGUGUGAAGGAGGAAGAAGUGAAAAAGCUACUUCUCUUUUAGAUGAGAUGUUGCAAAAAGGGAUGACACCCAACAUAUAUUCCUUUAAGUUGUUAAUAAAAACUUUCUGCAGGACAGGUCAGUUCAGACAGGCACAGGAGGCAUUUAACAUUGACCUUAGUAAAUAUGGCCACGAAGAAGUACUUUAUAGUCUAAUUUCAAUGAAUUUCUUGCAGGGGAGGAGAUCUUGGAAGCUAAUCGGUUAUUUGAAUCUUCAUUAGACAAAUGUUUUGAUUUGGGAAGCUUUCGUUACAGAGAUAUCACAAAUAGACUACGUCAAGGCGAAAAUGGAGAAUACUGAAAUCCUCAAAAAAAUGAUAGAGAAUGGAUUGAAGUUUGACCCUGUAACAUUUAUGCCUGUGAUUGAUUGUUUACCUGAAAGCAGAAAUAAGCAUGAGGUUGAUGAACUAAAAGAGAGGAUGCUGUCAAUGGCUUUAGAAAGUGAGAUGGAAGAUAAGAUUAAGCAGCAAUGCAGGGAGUCAAAGAAUGGGGAAAAAUAACAAUGGUGGAAGUGAGUGGCAAACCAUUAUGCAAAGGUAUGUUACUGAAAUGGAUCGUGACUUGUUUUCUGAUCUGAUAUUAAAAUAAAAUUUAGCCAUUUUAAUUAAUUUCUAAGUGUUAUGCCCUAAGUCCAAUCAACUUUGGACAUAAAUACUUUUAAUAUAUGGUUGAUGCAAUUUCAUGGUAGAUUUAUUAUUUAAUUAAUGUUUAAUUAAAUUAAAUAAUAAAGUUCAUAGAUUUAAAUUUUGGUAAUUUGUUAAUUACGAGGAGUUGUGAUUUUAAGAUGCAAAUUACAUAUGAUUGAAUCUUAAAUAGUCUAUGGUCGUAAAUACUAACGAGAUACGAAUAUCGUUAUUAGAGAUAAACCAUCACGUGUGACAUUUCUUACUUGUGAAGUAAGUAGCUAAUCUCACAAGCUAAACUGUGAUGACACUUACAUGAACGUGGAUGUUUUGUUAUAGAGCAAAACAUUGAAGACCCGCUGAGAGAUUUCACAUGGAUAACUAUCUGAGUGUCAGUGGUUAAUCUUAACGUUCGGUAGUGAAAUUGGUCCAUUGACUUGAGGUCAUCAUAGUGCUUUAUAUGAAGACGGUCAUACUUUGACGGUGUUGGAUGUUGCUCUGCCAAAAGCCACUAAUACGGUAUCGUUCGGAUAUGUUAAGAAUCAUAUGAAGGUUGUGAGUGACUAAUAGAAAAUUCGUUACUCUUAGAUAGUAAGAGAUUAUGAUCCACAUUUCAUUUAAUUAAGUCGAUAACGAAAUCCCUGGCCAAAGUGUACUCAUAAGUCGAAAAAUUUUUUUCAACUUGUAUUGAUUUAAUAGUAGAAUGAAAGAUAUGAUCAAUAAUCGGGAUUGACACACUUCCAUAUUUCAUAAUUGAUUUGAUCAUAUUGACGUAGGGAUUAUAAUUUCACGGUAAACAAACGAGUUUGAUUUUAUCAUACCACGUAACAUUUUUCGUCACAUGUAUUGUCCUAACAUAUUGCUAGAUAUCAAUUUGGGAUGGUAAAUAUGAAUUAGUGAUAAAUUAAAAAGGUGUUUUAAUUUAUCAAUUUUGAUUAGAUCAAAAUAUUAUUUCACGUCGUUAGACAUCGUAAUUGAAAACCUGAUGGGUUGUACACAAAAGGUGAACUAAAAGAUUGUGAUUUGUUAAUUAAUUAAUUUAACAACCAUUGAGUAAAUUAAUUAAUUGGGUUGCUUAUUUUUAGACCCGAGUUAAUUAAUUGGAUUAAUUAAUUUAAUUCAUGUACCGAAUUUAAUUAAAUGGGUUAAUUAAAUAUUGGAUUGGGUUAGGCCAAGCCUGUUUGAUCUUAUAUAAAUAAGGGUUUACUAUAUGAUAGAUAAUUCUAAUUUUCGUGCCAGUACAAGAGCAGAAAACCCUAGUUCUCCUACAAUCUUGUUCCCCGUGUGGAAUUCCAUUGAAAGUUGGACAAUUGGAUAGCUGGACAAAUGUGGGCGACAAAUCAAGAUUACUGGAACAAAAGAAAAGCAAAGGACUUUGUAGAUUUCGCAAGAGGUACAAUUUCUAUCACAGUUUUUAUCUAAUUACAAAGUAGAUCUUCAGUGGGAAUUGAAAUUUAUUUUAUUUUCCGCUGUGCAUAAUUAAAUAAAUUCCCAACAUUACAUGUCAUUAGAUGACAUUUCAUUGUUUCUCAGUGAAGGCUAUAAUUUUUGUCUUCUCUUGUAAAUCCUUUUAGUACACCUCCAGAAGGAAUUAACUAUGUCAGCAUGUUCUUGAAAAUUUAAUAAUUGCUGGCUUAUUAUACUAUAUAAGAAUUAUAUUAGGCUCGUAAAUUGAGAUUGUUCUAUAAUCCUUCUUUAAUUGUUACAUGAUCCAUUUU
This 4191-nucleotide long non-coding RNA is filed under the name Olea europaea subsp. europaea. The record is from RNAcentral. Lineage: Eukaryota; Viridiplantae; Streptophyta; Magnoliopsida; Lamiales; Oleaceae.